AACCUUAUGGACCUGCGGGCGUAUACCUGCGGAAGGAUCAUUACCGAGUUUACAACUCCCAAACCCCUGUGAACAUACCUAUACGUUGCCUCGGCGGAUCAGCCCGCGCCCUGUAAAAAGGGACGGCCCGCCCGAGGACCCUAAACUCUGUUUUUAGUGGAACUUCUGAGUAAAACAAACAAAUAAAUCAAAACUUUCAACAAUGGAUCU
Molecule: unclassified non-coding RNA, 210 nt
Filed under: soil metagenome
Description: partial contains 5.8S ribosomal RNA, internal transcribed spacer 2, and large subunit ribosomal RNA
Source: RNAcentral